RNAcentral lists this ribosomal RNA (421 nucleotides) under Gephyrocharax intermedius. Its description in RNAcentral is "partial 12S ribosomal RNA". It matches the Rfam family "Bacterial small subunit ribosomal RNA", at positions 774 to 1396 of the family's 1533-position model. Lineage: Eukaryota; Metazoa; Chordata; Actinopteri; Characiformes; Stevardiidae. The record is from RNAcentral.
GGGAUUAGAUACCCCACUAUGCUUAGCCUUAAACCUAGAUGUUAAAUUUACAAACAACAUCCGCCAGGGUACUACAAGCGCUAGCUUAAAACCCAAAGGACUUGACGGUGUCUCAGACCCACCUAGAGGAGCCUGUUCUAGAACCGAUAAUCCCCGUUAAACCUCACCACCCCUUGUUUUCCCCGCCUAUAUACCGCCGUCGCAAGCUUACCCUGUGAAGGUCCCAUAGUAAGCAAAAUGGGUAAAUCCCAAAACGUCAGGUCGAGGUGUAGCUCACGAGGUGGGAAGAAAUGGGCUACAUUUUCUGCAUCAGAAUAAUACGAACGAUAUCAUGAAACUGAUACCCGAAGGUGGAUUUAGUAGUAAAAAACAAAUAGAGAGUCUUUUUGAACCAGGCUCUGAGACGCGCACACACCGCCCC